UGGGGAUAUGGCGGAAUUGGUAGACGCAACAGACUUAAAAAAAAACUGUUCAUUGAACCGUGAGGGUUCAAGUCCCUCUAUCCCCAU
RNAcentral lists this transfer RNA (87 nucleotides) under Caulerpa cupressoides. Its description in RNAcentral is "tRNA-Leu". It matches the Rfam family "tRNA". From Rfam's summary of the family: Transfer RNA (tRNA) molecules are approximately 80 nucleotides in length. Their secondary structure includes four short double-helical elements and three loops (D, anti-codon, and T loops). Lineage: Eukaryota; Viridiplantae; Chlorophyta; Ulvophyceae; Bryopsidales; Caulerpaceae. The record is from RNAcentral.